Molecule: long non-coding RNA, 1091 nt
Filed under: Phasianus colchicus (ring-necked pheasant)
Lineage: Eukaryota; Metazoa; Chordata; Aves; Galliformes; Phasianidae
Description: lncRNA (ENSPCLG00000005569.1)
Source: RNAcentral
AGCAGGUGACGACAAGAAGCACUCAAGGGUAAUGGGGCUGGCUGUAGCUUCAGAAGAGAACUGCCUCUUACCCCAGCAAGCACAAAGGGAACUCCCUCCUCCUUUUUGCCUUAAACCAAAACAACCCCCCUUGGAGAAUUUUGGAAAGGAGUACUACUGCAGGAAGAUGACAAGGCAGGCUGCCACAUGGGCUUGAGGAGCUACUUCCAAGAAAGAAAUCCUCAUACGUGCAAAAUCAUAAGAACUUGAGCCCCUUUUGUAUCAGAGCAACUUCCUCAGAGGCCUUCUAAGUUCAUUCUGCUUUCCAAGGUCUGAACUCAGAGACCUUCAAGAGAAAAUGAGAUUCCUGGCAAAGCAUCCCACUCCCUGAAUUUUUAAGAAAUCAGAACAAUUCAAGCUGCUAGUUAGUUCUGCAGCUAAAUACUGAAUAAAACAGGAUACGUAGAACAACACUGCUUUAACACUCCUUUUUCUUCAGAUCUGUAGCCUGAGAAAGGUUGAGGGCAGGAAGGGAGGUGAGGAAGGGAGAAAGUUUCCUAAACUGAGUGAGAAUUGCUACAAGAUGAUACAAUGACAUUUGCAAAAACUGAAAACCAAUUUAUCACAAAACAUCACUCUAGCAUUGGCAUGAGGCGCAAACAACAACAUCUAUGAAUUAUCACCUUUGAUUUCCAAGGAGCAGAAUCCGCACUGUGUAACUUUUGUAUAGAAGAACCAUUUCAGGUACCAACAGUAGGAAGGCAGUGACAGCAAGAGAAGCUGCUUAUGACUCCACAAGCAACUUGGCUAAGCACUUCUGGUGCAAUUUGCACACAAAGAUCGCAUCAACUUGUGGCUGAGCCAUUUCCCAUAGAGGGCCUCAUGGAUUUGCUGACACUUUCACCAGCCUCUCUUCACAGUACAGACCUCAACAGAUCACCAAAAUCCUUUUUAGCCCUCGGCUCUCCAAAUGCUGCCCAACCUCAGCCUCACUGCCAGCUUCCCAACUGACUUUAAUAUCCACUGGCCUGUCUUAGAACCAGCCUUUACACUUGUAUUACCUGCAAAACAGAAAGAUAAAUCUCAAUGCUAGCACAAAUCCUGAAUUUGUC